RNAcentral lists this long non-coding RNA (1046 nucleotides) under Populus tremula. Its description in RNAcentral is "long non-coding RNA (PTRE_LNC001327)". Lineage: Eukaryota; Viridiplantae; Streptophyta; Magnoliopsida; Malpighiales; Salicaceae. The record is from RNAcentral.
CCUUUUGGCUUGGCGGCGAUAAAACUGAUGCACUGCACUUGACGAACGUUGUCGAAUCCAAUGAUACGGACAAAGGAGUUAGGGUAAGCUUUCUUCGCCUCCUCGAGCUCGAUCAGCACCUGAGAUGCCAUAGUGCAUCCAAACAUGGGUAGCUUCCACAUAGUCCAGUAGCGUCCAUCAUAGUACCCUGGGGAUCUGUGGUGCUCGCGGUAGACCCAACCUUUCUGCACAAUCAAACAUUUACAAGUUAGUGUCUCUAAAACAAUUAAUCACAAACCUUAUAUGUGACUAUAUUGAGGAACUAAGAAUCUGCUUAAAUGCUUAAUUAAGUUACCUGUAAUUAUAAUGUGUUCAAUGUAAAAGUACAGGCACACUUAAUUUAGUAUGCUCCAAGUAUUUUUUCAUCAGAAAUAUGUUGAAAAUCUUUUUUAUAUAUAUUUUAAAUUUAUUUUUAAUUUCCGCACACCAAAAGAAAACACCAAACAUGCUAUAUAUGGUUAAUUAUCACCUUGCAAUAAUAAUAAUAAUUAGUGAAAAUUGUAAGAUUAUGAGAUUGGACUUAUCACCUCCAACUCGAAUUCCAAGCAAGGAACCCACUUAUUGCGAAGAAGGUACUCAAUUUCCUUGGCCAAUUGCUCAGUAGUGAGUUCUGGGAGGUAAGAAAGGGUCUCGAACUUCUUCAAUCCUGUUGGAGGCCACACCUAUACGCAUUUUUAAAAGCAAAAAAGAAAAAAGAAGUGAGAACAGAAAGCUAAUUAAUUCCAAGUAAGUAGAAUAAAACUAAUUAACAACGUUGUACCAAAGUUGUUUAAAAGGUUUUACCUGCAUGCAUUGAACUCUUCCGCCAUUGCUUGCAAUGGAAGUAAUGUCACUGUUAGCCUUUCUGGUGACCGGGAAAGCUGAGGUAGACUUGAGGCCGUUGAAUGGUGCAACCAUGUUGGCCUGUGCCGGGGUGCGGUUAACUGUGGCCACGGCGGCCGAUGAAAUCACAGAGGAAGCCAUCUCUUACAAGCUAAUUAGCUAUUACACCCUCUAUAUGUGGUUUG